ACGAACGCUGGCGGCGUGCUUAACCCAUGCAAGUCGCACGGAAAGGCCCUGCUUUUGUGGGGUGCUCGAGUGGCGAACGGGUGAGUAACACGUGAGUAACCUGCCCUUGACUUUGGGAUAACUUCAGGAAACUGGGGCUAAUACCGGAUAGGAGCUCCUGCUGCAUGGAGGGGGUUGGAAAGUUUCGGCGGUUGGGGAUGGACUCGCGGCUUAUCAGCUUGUUGGUGGGGUAGUGGCUUACCAAGGCUUUGACGGGUAGCCGGCCUGAGAGGGUGACCGGCCACAUUGGGACUGAGAUACGGCCCAGACUCCUACGGGAGGCAGCAGUGGGGAAUAUUGCACAAUGGGCGGAAGCCUGAUGCAGCAACGCCGCGUGCGGGAUGACGGCCUUCGGGUUGUAAACCGCUUUCGCCUGUGACGAAGCGUGAGUGACGGUAAUGGGUAAAGAAGCACCGGCUAACUACGUG
This 467-nucleotide ribosomal RNA is filed under the name uncultured bacterium. RNAcentral's name for it is "partial 16S ribosomal RNA". It matches the Rfam family "Bacterial small subunit ribosomal RNA", at positions 29 to 507 of the family's 1533-position model. The record is from RNAcentral.